CAAGCUUUUGCAAGGUUACUUGUUCGGUUUUCAUUGGAGGUUUUUGAAGAUCAAAGGGAUUAGAGAGGGGAGCUUCAUGCUUCGGGUCGGUGAAGGAAAGACAUAGAAUUUGGGUUUUUCUUCUUCGUAGAGUUUUGGGAAGACUGAGGCAAUCGUUGCUGAAGUCAGUAUUGUAAUGGUGAAUCGGGAUUUUUAAUGAAGUGGGUUUGAAUACUCUUGACUGUUUUAUGAAAUCGAGUCACGUCUGUGAUUGAAGGAUUAAAAAGAUGUCUAUAGGAUUGAGUAUGCGGAGUGAAUGAAAUUUAUUGGGUUAAU
This 315-nucleotide long non-coding RNA is filed under the name Physcomitrium patens. RNAcentral describes it as "long non-coding RNA (PPAT_LNC009232)". Lineage: Eukaryota; Viridiplantae; Streptophyta; Bryopsida; Funariales; Funariaceae. The record is from RNAcentral.